GAUUAUUAUGGGCCAGCCACGUGGGCAGAGGAUGGUACCUUUGGUUAUAGAACCCCUAUUUAUAUGCUCAACCGCAUUAUAAGGUUACAGGCGGUGGUUGAGAUCAUUACUAACGAGAUAUCACAAGCGCUCAAUCUUCUAGCAAAGCAUAAUACCAGGAUGAGGACAGCAGUUUACCAAAAUAGAUUAGCCUUGGAUUAUCUUUUGGCAGUAGAGGGAGGUGUAUGUGGGAAGUUUAACCUGAGCAAUUGCUGUCUUCAAAUAGAUGACGAAGGGCAAGCAAUAGCUGAGCUUACUAGCCAUAUGGUUAAACUAGCGCAUGUGCCUACUCAGGUAUGGAAAGGGUACAAUCCAAGUAGUUGGUUUGGUAGCUGGUAUGAGUGGUUUGAAG
Molecule: long non-coding RNA, 391 nt
Filed under: Pelobates cultripes (western spadefoot toad)
Lineage: Eukaryota; Metazoa; Chordata; Amphibia; Anura; Pelobatidae
Source: RNAcentral